Molecule: long non-coding RNA, 1095 nt
Organism: Sceloporus undulatus (fence lizard)
Lineage: Eukaryota; Metazoa; Chordata; Lepidosauria; Squamata; Phrynosomatidae
Exons: 3
Source: RefSeq, a predicted model, not a curated record
GCCAGGCAGCAGCAGCAGCAGCAGCAGCAGGGCCCUGGGCUGGAGGUCCUCACUCCGGAGGAGGAGGAGGAGGACCUGAAUAGAUGAGAAAGCUGAGCCAAAACUAAGCAAAUGAACUUCAACAGGGAGAAAUGUCCCUAAGUUCCAGGAGUCAAAUCAAAAUGGCUUCAAAAUGUUCCCUCAACUUAUACAUGAAGUCAACUUACACUUUAUGAUACGGUGGAAAGCAGAUGCCUUCUCCAGGUGCUGAUUUACCCUAAUAAGCUCUUUACAUAUGGGUAAUUUCCUUUGGAUGAGCUACACAGUAGCGCUUUAAGAUCCUCAGUACAGCUAUGACUCACCCUCAUUAGCAGUCUUCACUUGUUCCAUUUUCAGAUUUAGAUUCUUGUGCAUCUAAUAGUAUUAUUCCAGGGGUUAUGCAGGUGCCAUGUCUAGUGGCUAAUUUACUCUAAACUGGAUGUUUAUCUGGAAUGCUCUCUCCCCUGUUAACUUGACAAGGUAAUGAAAGCAGUCCUACUAAAGAACCUCUUGAAAUGCACCACUUUUGCAGAAUAUAAGAAUAAUUUUUGCUGGUAAGUAAGAAAUGCUUGCGCACAUCCAUAUCUAGAGUGGAAGGCCAGAAGAGAAAGUACAUCAUCACAUUAAACCAAUGGUAUCUGACCCAGGAACAGCUAGGAUUAUGAACUCUAAGCAAACUUUGAACUUUGCUAUCAGAAGCUAAGACAAAGUAUUCCUCUUCACAUGAUUAUGAUCAUAUGGAAGAAAGUGGAGAUGCACUUGAUGGGUUCAUUGGAUGUUCAUGGGGUUCACAUUCCCACAUGCGAACAUCUAGAUGUUGAGAAGAAAAUCUGAAGAAAGGAACUACUUUACAUGCAUAUCAUGGAACUUAUACACUACACAAUAAUGGCUUCAUAUUACAGGGGGCAAGUCCUUUCACAUACAUCCACGGCAACAGAAUCAUGAGACUACAGAAACCAGGAACUUGCAGUUUAGGGAGGGGUAUUUAGAUGUCUCAAGGGGCCUUAAUACCCUGAAGGCACAGGAUCUCAUCUGAUCUUGGAAGCUAAGCAGGGUCAGGACUUGUUAGUACUUGGA